UUGUGAUUGUCACAUUGUCACAGAUCAGCAGUGACUUGUGCAUAAUGAAUUACUGUUCUUUCUUACAGGUUGCAAGUAAACCUCUAAUGAUUGUAGGGUCUAAUUAGCAACAGUGUCAACUCUUUUAACUAGAAAUAAUUGAUUAAAAACUUUCACUGUGAGAGGUAGGAAGAAGCAGGCUGUCUUUCUUUGUCUCUUCUUGAGCUCGAGGAAACUCCCUAGCACCCCUAAAGCAAACCUCAUUGCUCAAGGUGCAGCUCAGGUUUAGCCCCACAGCACUCCCUGGACGUGGAAUCUUCAGGAAUGGUUUAAACCUCACCAUGUGCUCUCUGAGGGCAGACAAGAAUGCCUGCUUCCUUAAGCGUGCAGAAUAGUAAACACUCCCCAAAUUGAACUUAUUCAGAGGAUGACUAAUAUAGAGGGGAAAAAAUCUAAUUGCUGGGCAACUCAGUAUCCCCACCAGUUCGAAUCUGGGUUUUCUGCCUUCAAUUUCCAUGCUCAUUUCAUUUCCCAAUUAUGUCUCCCUUUUAGCUCCACCCAUUCCUAAGAAACACCCAAUUUAAAAAAAGCACUGGAGCUCACGUGUCACUGGAUGAGAAAAGAAACUCUGUGUCACAGCAUGUAAUUCUGAACUAUAUGAUUUUCCUAAAGGUCUUGGACUUCAGGUGAAAGACGUUCUGUCAGCCAGGAUUCAGGAACAUCCCUCAGGAAGAGAGAGCUACCUGCUGCUUUGUCUGUGUAUUGUGCCCAGAGAGAGAAAUAUGUAAUCAGACAGAAAAGAAAAGUGUCUGUGGGGCUCAAGUUUGAGUUGAAACCAGGCUCAGGGUCCACCUGUCCUCGCUGAUCCGUGGAUUUCUGUGUGACCAGCUUUGGGGCACAACCUGAAGACCCUCACAGUCACCUUCCCCAUCUCCACCCUCCAGUAUUCAUCAGACAGGAGCAAUGGCUCAGCCACGUUCCACUCCACUGAGAGGGUCCUGCAGAGCCUGCUGGAUCCUUGUUCAAGAAGAGCAGCCUGGGCCUCUUCUCCUUGAGUUGCAGACUGGUCUCCCUCAGGCCUGUGAAGGAUGGGGGAGCCACCUGUGUGGACGCUGUCUGCACCCACCACCGUGACCUCGUGGGCCACCAUGCCUCUGUGCUGGGAGCUGAGAGUCUCCACGUGUCUGCUCUUCCUCUCGGUGGCUCCAGGCUCUGCACCCUGGAGUUUAUGCAUGCA
Molecule: long non-coding RNA, 1216 nt
Organism: Diceros bicornis minor
Lineage: Eukaryota; Metazoa; Chordata; Mammalia; Perissodactyla; Rhinocerotidae
Exons: 7
Source: RefSeq, a predicted model, not a curated record